GAAAAUUUUCAGUAAAGUCCGAUGUAUUCAGCUUUGGUGUAAUAUUGUUGGAGAUUAUAAGUGGGAAGAAAAGCAAUGGCUUCCAUCAAGAGGAUCCUUCCCUAACCUUGAUAGGACAUGUGAGCGAUAGAAACUCUUGAUUUGUUAACUUCUCAACAAAAUAAUUUUACUGAAAGUUUAUUUCAUGCAUGGUGAUGCUAUGAACAAAGGUGUGGGAGCUAUGGCAAGAAGACAGAGCAAUGGAGAUAGUUGACUCAACAUUAAAGGAAUCAUACAAUUCCCAUGAAGUGUUGAAAUGUAUUCACAUUGCACUCUUGUGUGUGCAAGAAGAUGCUGUGGACAGACGAACUAUAUCAGCAAUCAUUGUCAUGUUAGAUAGUGAAAUCUCUCUUCCUUGUCCAAAACAACCAGCUUUCAUUUUCAGAACUUCUUGCAACAGUUCACCAAUAUGGGAAGGACCAAGUUCUGUCAAUGAAAUGUCGAUCACUGAAACUGUAGCUCGCUAAUUGAAGCAUACUUUCUCUCAUAGACUAAGCUAACUAGAAUUAAGGGACUAAAUCAUUCGAUUUUUUAAAUUAAGGGACCAUUUUGCUAUUGGUAGUAGACAAAAACCCAUCAGUAAUAUACAAAUUUCACAGGUACAGACAUUUGCUCACUGAUACAUUCAUCUCAUCAUGAAUAAAAAGCGAAGAGCAACUAAAAUAAGACAAAACCCAUUAAAAACUCACAAUUGGGGUCCUGUUUUCUAACUAAUGAGAUGCUUUUCAGCUGAAUAGAGAUCCAAAAGCACUAAAACUAACUUCAAAAUUAGGAACCCAUGGAAAAGUAAAAAGCAGAAAAUUACCUGUGAAGCGAUUGGCACAUAUGAGAUAUCCAGAGGCUCCAUCAGGAAGUGUUUAGAGAGGAAAUUGGAUGAUAUAUAUAUAAAAUGAUAGUUUUUGACACAAAAUAACAUGAACUUAUAAUAUGACCUCAUCGCAACUUCAAAAGGUACUUUUCAAUUUGUCUUCAAGGCUUUGUACUAAAGAAAUAUUUAAAGAAUAAAUAAAUUUUGUUAGAUUUGAAAUAGGGAACUUUUGAAUUGUUAAAAACGCAUGCCUGACUUUGAUAGCCUCAGGGAUGCCAAGUCUAAAUUGGAAUAUUUGGUUUAGGUGGCGUGAAUUAUAAAUCUAGAGCACAGAAUUGGUCAACAAUCCCAAUUUCACAUAAUUAUUGAUUAUAUCGAUGUAGUUGACACAAAAUUAUAUUACAAUUGACUUACUAAAAAACUAAAUUAAUUAAGAUCGAUUCGUGAAUAUGUGAUUCUACAAUUAUUUUUUAAAAAGUUUUACUCUAUAAUUGAAAGGAUGAAUUUUAAUGAAAAACUAAAAUGUACAUUGAUUGAAUUUUUUUUAUUAAUAAAAUUAAAUAUUAUCUAAUCAGACUCUUAAUCAAAUUGUUAUUAUGUAAUUAUAUUUAUAUUUUACUGAUUAUUGUAUUAUAUUAUAUAUAUAUAUUAGUAAAGUGAUAAUAAUUUUUAUAUUUAAAUUUAAAUUAACAUUAUAUAUAUAUAUAUAAAAUCAAAUGCAUGUAAAAAAUUUUCUCCUAUAUGCAUUUGUCUUAUAAAUAAGUCAAAAUGUCAAAAUUUCUCCAUUUCCAAUAAAAUUUCAAAUUGGUGGGGACUCAUAUUUCUUUGAAGACUCAGAAAACUGACAACUGCACCAAAAGAAUUUUAUAAAUAUGCAACAGUCGUAAUAAAACUCGGAAAAUUGCCAAAACCCGUAUAUACUAGCGUUGGCUUUACAAAGAUCAACUCUUCAUGGAUGCUAAAACAAUUCGUCUCUAUUUUGCUUUACUUGUACUCCACAGAUUAACACUUUCUACUUCCACAGACACCAUCAGCAUUAGCCAAACCUUCAGAGAAGGAGACCUUCUGGUUUCCAAACAAAACAAGUUUGCACUGGGAUUUUUUAGCCCUGGCAAUUCCAGCUAUAGAUAUCUUGGAAUUUGGUUUUAUAAGAUAUCAUUUCAAACUGAUACUGUUGUGUGGGUGGCCAACAGGGACAAUCCAAUCACUGGUUCUGCAGGUUUUCUCUCCAUCAACAAAUAUGGCAACCUUGUUCUCUAUGGUAAUAAAGAAGAAAAGUUUCCAAUAUGGUCUGCAAAUGUUUCAGUGGAUUUAGCAAAUACUUGUGUAGCUCAGCUCUUUGAUUCAGGAAACUUUGCUCUCUUCCAAGGUUCAAGAAGAGUAAUUGUAUGGCAGAGCUUUGAUCAUCCUACUAAUACCUUGCUACCAGGAAUGCGGCUUGGGCUCGACAAGAGAACAGGUCUCAACCGGUUCCUGAAUUCCUGGAAAUCAACAGAUGAUCCUGGAAUCGGUGACUACUCUCUGAAGCUCAACCCAGUUGGCUCACCAGCAUUUUUUCUGUACGAUGGUUCCAAACCUUACUGGAGAGGCACGCCAUGGCCGUGCGGAAGACCAGAUAUAUUCAACUACAGCUACGUUAAUAGUGAAGAGGAAAUAUUCUUUUCCUACUCUCAUGACGACAGCUCUGUUCUCUUCCAAUUGAUGGUCCAUGAAUCAGGAACGCUUCUGUGGGUUUCAAGGCGUGAAAGUGAUGCUAAUUGGAAGGAGUUCUGGUCAGCCUCCAAGUAUCGUUGUGACUCUUAUGGACGCUGCGGUGCUAACAGUGUAUGCGAUCCUAAAAAUGUCAAUAUAUAUGAAUGUUCUUGUUUACCUGGUUACGAACCCAAGUUCCCAAGAAACUGGUUUCCGAUGAGAGAUGGAUCGGGUGGCUGUGUUAGAAAGCGAUUGAAAUCUUCAUCAGUGUGUGGGCAAGGGGAAGGGUUUGUGAAAGUGCCUCAAGUUAAGAUUCCUGAUACUUCAACAGCAGUUUGGGUGAAUAUGAGUAUGUCCCGUGUGGACUGUGAACAAGAAUGCUACAAAGAUUGUUCAUGCUCUGCCUAUGCCAGCAUAAAAAUUCCAGGGGAAGCUGUUGCCUGCUUGGCUUGGUAUGGGGAUUUGAUGGACAUAGUGGAUCUUAUGGAUCAUAGCGGCUACGAUAUUUAUGUUCGAGUUGAUGCAAUUGAAUUAGGUAUCACAUUCAUUGCUCUGCACUAGUUUUCUCAAUUGCUCUGUUAUUCCUGCCUAGAUAGCUCCAUCACACUUUUGAACUUUAGCAGCUGAGAUUGAGAGAUCAAAUGGUUUUCUUGAAAUGAAGGGGAUGCUGGCUUUUCUGGUAGUUUCAGUUUCGUCAGCAUGGUUUGUCAUCAUCUUAUUUGUCUACUUGUGGCUGAGGAAGAGAAAGAAAAGAGGCAAGUAAUUAAUGAAAUGUCUCAUUUUCCACAAUAUUUUUUAUAAUCAUUUCAAUUUGUGUUGUUCAAAAACAGUAAAGAACAAAUCCAACAGGAGAUUGUUUGAUUCUAUAAAUGGUCCACACUAUCACAAAGAUAAUUUUGAAGCGGAUGACAUCCAGACAAGCAGGAGUCAUACAGACUUAGCAUUUUUCAACCUUAGCACCAUAUCUGCUGCCACUGAUAAUUUUUCUCAAGCUAACAAGAUUGGACAAGGUGGCUUUGGUUCUGUUUAUAAGGUAGAAUUUAACUCUCUAUCCAAUAUCUAAAAAUUGAAAUUCUUCUCAAUUUGAUUUGUUCCUUUUCACAUGGUGUUCUGUGUGAAAACAAAUUCAGACAUAGGUGUAAUCUAGCAAACAUGUUUUUGCAGGGUCAGCUAACUAAUGGAAAGGAGGUUGCUGUAAAAAGGCUAUCAAAAAAUUCGGGGCAAGGAGCAGAAGAAUUUAAAAAUGAAGCUAUGUUGAUAGCCAAGCUUCAACAUAGGAAUCUUGUGAAACUUUUAGGAUGUUGCAUUCAGGAAGAAGAGCGAAUUUUGAUUUAUGAAUACUUGUCAAAUGGAAGUUUGGACUUGUUUCUCUUUGGUGAGUUUUCUAAUUUUUCUAUUGCUUUGUUGGUUUCCUAAUUGGAUCUCCUCUACGAGGAUUCGAUUAAGAUAUACAAAUUAUAUAUAUUUUUUAACACUAACUUAAUAAAAAUUAUUAAAAUUUUAAAGAUACAACAAGAAGUUCAUUCUUGAAUUGGAGUAAACGUUACAAAAUUAUAGUUGGAAUCGCACGUGGAAUCUUAUAUCUUCACCAAGACUCAAGGUGGCGAAUCAUCCAUAGAGACUUAAAAAGCAGCAACAUCCUCUUAGAUGCAGAGAUGAAACCAAAAAUAUCAGAUUUUGGAACCGCUAGAAUACUUGAAGAUGACCAGAUACAACACAAGACACAUAGAGUUGUUGGGACAUAGUAAGUAUUCAAGUAAAGAUUGCCCUUAUCACUCAACAUCAAACAGAUUGCUAUAAAAAACCAAUUCUCUACUUAACAUGUGCAUUCUUUUAUUUUGCAGUGGCUACAUGUCGCCAGAGUAUGCCGUGUUAGGAAAAUUUUCAGUAAAGUCUGAUGUAUUCAGCUUUGGUGUAAUAUUGUUGGAGAUUAUAAGUGGGAAGAAAAGCAAUGGCUUCCAUCAAGAGGAUCCUUCCCUAACCUUGAUAGGACAUGUGAGUGAUAGAAACUCUUGAUUUGUUAACUUCUCAACAAAAUAAUUUUACUGAAAGUUUAUUUCAUGCAUGGUGAUGCUAUGAACAAAGGUGUGGGAGCUAUGGCAAGAAGACAGAGCACUGGACAUAGUUGAUUCAACAUUAAAGGAAUCAUACAAUUCCCAUGAAGUAUUGAAAUGUAUUCACAUUGCACUGUUAUGUGUGCAAGAAGAUGCAAUGGACAGGCCAACAACAUCAGCAAUCAUUGUCAUGUUGGAUAGUGAAAUCACUCUUCCUUGUCCAAAACAACCUGCUUUCAUUUUCAGAAAUUCUCGCAACAGUUCACCAAUAUGGGAAGGACCAAGUUCUGUCAAUGAAGUGUCGAUCACUGAAACUGUAGCUCGCUAAUUGAAGCGAACUUGCUCUCAUAGACUUAGCUAAUUUUACUUGUAAAUGAAUUGAAGCAAACUGCCGUCAAAUUGGCGGGGACUCAUAUUUCUUUGAAGACUCAGAAAACAGACAACUGCACCAAAAGAAUUUUAUAAAUAUACAACAGUCGUAAUAAAACUCGGAAAAUUGCCAAAACCCGUAUAUACUAGCGUUGGCUUUACAAAGAUCAACUCUUCAUGGAUGCUAAAACAAUUCGUCUCUAUUUUGCUUUACUUGUACUCCACAGAUUAACACUUUCUACUUCCACAGACACCAUCACCAUUAACCAAACCUUAAGAGAAGGAGACCUUCUCGUUUCCAAACAAAACAAGUUUGCACUAGGAUUUUUUAGCCCUGGCAAUUCCAGCUAUAGAUAUCUUGGAAUUUGGUUUUAUAAGAUAUCAUUACAAACUGAUACUGUUGUGUGGGUGGCCAACAGGGACAAAGCAAUCAAUGGUUCUGCAGGUUUUCUCUCCAUCAACCAAUAUGGCAACCUUGUUCUCUAUGGUAAUAGAGAUGAAAAGUUACCAAUAUGGUCUACAAAUGUUUCAGUGGAUUUAGCAAAUACUUGUGUAGCUCAGCUCUUUGAUUCAGGAAACUUUGUUCUCAUCCAAGGUUCAAGAAAAAUAAUUGUAUGGCAGAGCUUCGAUCAUCCUACUAAUACCUUGCUACCAGGAAUGCGGCUUGGGCUCGACAAGAGAACAGGUCUCAACCGGUUCCUGACUUCCUGGAAAUCAACAGAUGAUCCUGGAAUCGGUGACUACUCUCUGAAGCUCAACCCAGUUGGCUCACCAGUAUUUUUUCUGUACGAUGGUUCCAAACCUUACUGGAGAGGCACGCCAUGGCCGUGCAGAAGACCACCAGAUAUAUACAACUACAGCUACGUUAAUAGUGAAGAGGAAAUAUCCUAUUCCUACUCUCAUGACGACAGCUCUGUUCUCUUCCAAUUGAUGGUGCAUGAAUCAGGAACGCUUAUGUGGGUUUCAAGGCGUGAAAGUGAUGCUAAUUGGAAGGAGUUCUGGUCAGCCUCCAAGUAUCGUUGUGACUCUUAUGGACGCUGCGGCGCUAACAGUGUAUGCGAUCCUAAACAUGUCAACGUAUUUGAAUGUUCUUGUUUACCUGGAUAUGAACCCAAGUUCCCAAGAAACUGGUUUCCUAUGAGAGAUGGAUCGGGUGGCUGUGUUAGAAAGCGAUUGAAAUCUUCAUCAGUGUGUGGGCAAGGGGAAGGGUUUGUGAAAGUGCCUCAAGUUAAGGUUCCUGAUACUUCAACAGCAGUUUGGGUGCAUAUGAGUAUGUCCCGUGUGGACUGUGAACAAGAAUGCUACGAAGAUUGUUCAUGCUCUGCCUAUGCCAGCAUAAAAAUUCCAGGGAAAGAUGUUGCCUGCUUGGCUUGGUAUGGGGAUUUGAUGGACAUAGUGGAUCUUAUGGAUCAUAGCGGCUACGAUGUUUAUGUUCGAGUUGAUGCAAUUGAAUUAGGUAUCACAUUCAUUGCUCUGCACUAGUUUUCUCCAUUGCUCUGUUAUUCCUGCCUAGAUAGCUCCAUCACACUUUUGAACUUUAGCAGCUGAGAUUGAGAGAUCAAAUGGUUUUCUUGAAAUGAAGGGGAUGCUGGCUUUUCUGGUAGUUUCAGUUUCGUCAGCAUGGUUUGUCAUCAUCUUAUUUGUCUACUUGUGGCUGAGGAAGAGAAAGAAAAGAGGCAAGUAAUUAAUGAAAUGUCUCAUUUUCCACAAUAUUUUUUAUAAUCAUUUCAAUUUGUGUUGUUCAAAAACAGUAAAGAACAGAUCCAACAGGAGAUUGUUUGAUUCUAUAAAUGGUCCACACUAUCACAAAGAUAAUUUUGAAGCGGAUGCCAUCCAGACAAGCAGGAGUCAUACAGACUUGGCAUUUUUCAACCUUAGCACCAUAUCUGCUGCCACUGAUAAUUUUUCUCAAGCUAACAAGAUUGGACAAGGUGGCUUUGGUUCUGUUUAUAAGGUAGAAUUUAACUCUCUAUCCAAUAUCUAAAAAUUGAAAUUCUUCUCAUUUUGAUUUGUUCUUAUCUUGUUUACAUGGUGUUCUGUGUGAAAACAAAUUCAGACAUAGGUGUAAUCUCGCAAACAUGUUUUUUCAGGGUCAGCUAACUAAUGGAAAGGAGGUUGCUGUAAAAAGGCUAUCAAAAAAUUCGGGGCAAGGAGCAGAAGAAUUUAAAAAUGAAGCUAUGUUGAUAGCCAAGCUUCAACAUAGGAAUCUUGUGAAACUUUUAGGAUGUUGCAUUCAGGAAGAUGAGCGAAUUUUGAUUUAUGAAUACUUGUCAAAUGGAAGUUUGGACUUGUUUCUCUUUGGUGAGUUUUCUAAUUUUUCUAUUGCCUUGUUGGCUUCCUAAUUGGAUCUCCUUUACGAGGAUACGAUUAAGAUAUACAAAUUAUAUAUAUUAUUUAACACUAACUCGAUAAAAAUUAUUAAAAUUUUAAAGAUAUAACAAGAAGUUCAUUCUUGAAUUGGAGUAAACGUUACGAAAUCAUAGUUGGAAUCGCACGUGGAAUCUUAUAUCUUCACCGGGACUCAAGGUGGCGAAUCAUCCAUAGAGACUUAAAAAGCAGCAACAUCCUCUUAGAUGCAGAGAUGAAACCAAAAAUUUCAGAUUUUGGAACGGCUAGAAUACUCGAAGAUGACCAGAUAGAACACAAGACACAUAGAGUUGUUGGGACAUAGUAAGUAUUCAAGUAAAGAUUGCCCUUAUCACUCAACAUCAAACAGAUUGCUAUAAAAAACCAAUUCUCUCCUUAACAUGUGCAUUCUUUUAUUUUGCAGUGGCUACAUGUCGCCAGAGUAUGCCGUGUUAGGAAAAUUUUCAGUAAAGUCCGAUGUAUUCAGCUUUGGUGUAAUAUUGUUGGAGAUUAUAAGUGGGAAGAAAAGCAAUGGCUUCCAUCAAGAGGAUCCUUCCCUAACCUUGAUAGGACAUGUGAGUGAUAGAAACUCUUGAUUUGUUAACUUCUCAACUAAAUAAUUUUACUGAAAGUUUAUUUCAUGCAAGGCGAUGCUAUGAACAAAGGUGUGGGAGCUAUGGCAAGAAGACAGAGCACUGGACAUAGUUGAUUCGACAUUAAAGGAAUCAUACAAUUCCCAUGAAGUGUUGAAAUGUAUUCACAUUGCACUGUUAUGUGUGCAAGAAGAUGCAAUGGACAGGCCAACAACAUCAGCAAUCAUUGUCAUGUUAGAUAGUGAAAUCUCUCUUCCUUGUCCAAAACAACCAGCUUUCAUUUUCAGAACUUCUUGCAACAGUUCACCAAUAUGGGAAGGACCAAGUUCUGUGAAUGAAAUGUCAAUCACUGAAACUGUAGCUCGCUAAUUGAAGCAUACUUCCUCUCAUAGACUAAGCUAACUAGAAUUAAGGGACUAAAUCAUUCGAUUUUUUAAAUUAAGGGACCAUUUUGCUAUUGGUAGUAGACAAAAACCCAUCAAUAAUAUACAAAUUUCACAGGUACAGACAUUUGCUCACUGAUACAUUCAUCUCAUCAUGAAUAAAAAACGAAGAGAAACUAAAAUAAGACAAAACCCAUUAAAAACUCACAAUCGGUGUCAUGUUUUCUAAUUAAUGAGAUGCUUUUCAGCUGAAUAGAGAUCCAAAAGCACUAAAACUAACUUCAAAAUUAGGAACCCAUGGAAAAGUAAAAAGCAGAAAAUUACCUGUAAAGCGAUUGGCUCAUAUGUGAUAUCCAGAGGCUCCAUCAGCCACCGAGGAAGUGUUUUAUAGUGGAGUGGUGGCCAUGGAGAGUCAUCUGUGGAGGGUUUUUUUGCCAAAGUCAUCUGGAGAAUGCGAGAUUGUAGAUGACACAGAGAAUUGCACAAUGCUCAGAGCAAAUUUUUUGGAGGUAUUGUACUUAAGGGUUUUUUAAUUAAUCAACUUGUAACGGCUCCGCUCCAACAACAGCAAAUAACUUUUAGACCAAUGCAAGUUACUCACAUCUUAUCCCUUUGUGACUCAAUUCCAUAGUUUCUUCUUUUCCUUAAAUUUGACUUUUUCAUUUUCCUUCACCGUAUCAUGUUUUGCGUCAAUUGAUUAUUUAUAAAGAAAAAAAAAAUUUUUGUCCUAUUAAGAACUACAGAAAUAUUUCAAUCGUUACUUAUGAUUUCUGUAAGGUGGAGAUAUUUUUCACAUACAAUUCAAUUAAUUUUAAAAAUAUGCAAACAUCUUUAACAGAUUUAUGACAUCCUUUAAAGGAGUAUUUAUUAUAGAAUUAGAGUCAAAAAUAUAUCUAUUUCGAUUUUUUAAUAAUGUUGAUUUUAAAAAUAUAGAGAAUGGGGUCGUUGGUUGUACAAUUGAUUCCUGCUUGUUUGAAAGAAAUAUAAAGUAAUGAAAAUACUCUCCAUAUCCCUCUAACUUAUUCUAAUUUCUAAUUAAAGAUCUCUUCUGGUUAUUAUAACAAGACGUUGACUAAAUUGAUCGGGACUUUUGUUGACCACUAUAAAGAGUAUGAUAUGAAAAAUGGUUUAGUUAUGUUGCCGGACCCUAUGAGAGUUAAAGUUUAUUUGGACAUUUGGCAACUUUUGAAACGGCGGAAGAAGUUUGUUGGAGAUGAUGGUACUGUGUUUAGUGUGAAGUUUCAAUAUGAAAAAACAACUAUUUUUUGCUAUUUAUGUGGGAAAUUGGGUCAUGUGUAGGCUUUCUGUGACUUGUGGCUGAGGUUGAAGAAAGACGAUAUCAAGUUUGGUUGGGUAAUUUCCUCAGAGCACCUAUUCAUCAGAACAAGAGACCGACAAGCUUAUGGCUGCGUGAUUCUGGCAAUUCUAUUUCGCCAGAAUUUGUGUCAGGAUUGGCAUCAACUAGUAAUUUUGAAAACACUAAUUUGGCAGUAUAUAAUAGGCACUUCUCCUUAUUUGGCAAAAGUCAACCCAUUGUAAAUAAGGAGACCAUAUUAUAGACAUUGGCAAGAAUUAUGUGGGCCAAGGCAGUUCUGAUAAACUUGAUGAGGAGAUUGCAGUCCAAAUAAAUACCAAUGCUAAAAAAAGGACAAGAAACACUAAACAUAACAUUAUUAUAGGUUUAUGAUUAUUUUUCUUCAAAUUUUAUUGAUUCGAUUGUUUCGAAAGAUAAUAUUCAAUGAAUAUUUACUAGUUAUUAUGGGUUUCCGGAAUCGUAACGACGACGUCAAUCUUCAAGCUUUAUCUCAUAGAAGCUCUCUUCCGUGAUUUUGUUCUGAAAACUUUAAUGAUUUAUGCUCGAGAGAUGAGAAAGAAGAAGGAGAAUAUUUGUCAAAUUAUCUUAUGCAAGGGUUUAAGCAGGCACUUGAGAAACAUUUUUGCCAAAUUCUCUUAUGCAGGAGUUUGAUUUUGAAUGAUUAUAAAUUUUUGUUAGACUCUAGAACAAAUAUUUCUGUUAGAUGGAUUCGUCGUAAUACUACUCUAACUGCUCAUACUUUGACUAGAGAAUUUAUUAGAUAUAAUAGUCUCUCUAUUUGGGAUAAUAUCCCUCUUUAUUUGAUAAAAUUUUAUUAAUAUAAUCAAUAGUUUUGCUUUCAAAAAAAAACUUUUAGACCUAACCCUUUCCAUUUUAAUUUCCCAUGGAUGUAUUGUUAAGCCAGGAUUAUAUGGUUAAUGCAUUGGCGACUCACCUUGAUAUUAUUUUUUUUAAUAUUUAUUAGUCUCACAUAAUUUUUUAAUAUUGUAGCUCGAACUAGAGUGGGCAUGUUCAAAUUUAAAAAUACCGAUCGAAUUGAAUUAAUUUAAAAUUUUAAUUUGUUUUUUUAUUUAUUUCAAUUCGGUUCAGUUUUUAAUUUUAAAAAUUUCGAUUAUUUCGGUUCGGUUUGAUUUUAAUAAAAAAAUUUUAAAAAUCGAAUUGAACCGAUUAGUGAUAAUAAUAUAUUAUUUUAAAAAUAUAGAGAGAUUAGAUCAUAUUAAGAUUAAUAUAUUCUAAUUAAAUUUUAAAAUAUUAAAAUUCAAACUGAUUAAACCGAAUCGAAUUGAAUCAGACUGAUUUAGUUCGAUUCGAUUUUUGAUCAAAAUCAGUUCUGUUCAAUUCUCAUAAAAAAAUUAAAAUUUCAAUUUUCAGUUUAUUUAAUUUAGUUCAGUUUUAAACCAAAUCGACCAAAUGGUCACUCUAUCUUCAACGUCAAUUAUAACGGCACCAUUUUUAACUGACUUAAACGCCUUUUUUCCACUUAAUUAAUGAAUUUAAAAUGUUUUGAAAAUUUUGUUUUAAAAUUUAUAAAUAACUCAUCCAAACUAAUUUUAUUUUAAAAUUGAAUCUAGCCAUUCAAUUUAAGUUGAUGAAUUGAAUCAGUCAGUCCCAACAUUUGAAAAAGUUACCUGGAAUUCUCCUAGUUGAUGAUAUAUAUAUAAGAUGAUUUCUCAUCCUUACCAAUUGGACUAACAUUUUUCCUUUUUCACAAAUUUAUUUUGUUAGAUUUGAAAUAUGGAACUUUUGAAUUGUAAAAAACACAUGCCUGAUACCUCAGGUAUGAAAAGUCUAAAUUGGGAUAUUUGGUUUAGUUGAGGGAGAAUUAUAAAUCUGGAGCAUGGAAUCGGUCAACGAUCUCAGCUUCCCAUAAUUAUUUUAUUUUAUUUUUAGUUAAAAUACGUUUAAAAAUUUAUAUUCAUUCCACCCACAAUUUAAAUACGAUGUAAAUACAUCUGAUUAAAUUUGAGAGAUCCUGUGUUCUACUUUCUCAAUUUAUUAUCUCUAUUUCAAUUAAAAAUAAUUUUAUGUCCAUUUUCUUUUUUUUUUCUUAUAUCACGAGUAUUUAGAGUGCAUGUGUCUAAAUUUACCGGCGUAUUUCAAAGAAAUUAUGUUAAUAAUAAAAAUAAGAAAAAAUAAUGUAUUUUUCAAAAUAGAAAACACAAUUAAUGUGUUUCCCAUAAGAGCAAAUUUCCUUAUCUUUAAUCUUAUAUAGUUAUUACUUCGAAAUUUAAGUAUUUUAGAAAUUUCAAUUCAUCAACAUAGAGCAUAUAUCAAUUUUUAUUUAAAUUUUAUAUUACAUAUUAAGAAAUUAAAAAGUAUCAAGUAUUUGGAGUGUGGACAACUUGAAAGGAAGCAUCCUAAUUAGUCCUUUAGAAAGAGACAGAAAAUGCCCACAAACACAACAUAAAGUUUUUCUUGUCUUUAGAAAGAUCAAUCAUUCAUGGAUGCUAAAAUACUUCAUUUGUUUUAUGCUUUGCUUAUACUCCACAGAUUCACAGCUUGCACUUCCACAGACACCAUCACCAUUAAUCAAAUCAUCAGAGAAGGUGACCUUCUGAUUUCCAAACAAAAUAAAUUUGCACUGGGAUUUUUCAGCCCUGGCAAUUCCAGCUAUACAUAUCUCGGAAUUUGGUUUCAUAGAGUACCAUUACAAACAGUUGUGUGGGUGGCCAACAGGGACAAUCCAAUCAAUGGUUCUGCAGCUGUUCUCUCCAUCAACCAAUAUGGAAACCUUGUUCUCUAUGGUGGCAGAGAUCAUAAGUUUCCAUUAUGGUCUGCAAAUGUUUCAAUGGAUGUAGCAGAUUCUUGUGUAGCUCAGCUCUUGGAUUCUGGAAAUUUCAUUCUGUUCGAAAGUACAAAUAGAAGAGUUCUAUGGCAGAGCUUUGAUUAUCCGACAAAUACCUUGCUACCCGGAAUGAAACUUGGGCUCGACCGGAGAACAGGCCUGAACCGGUUCCUGACAUCGUGGAGAUCUGCAGAUGAUCCUAGCACCAAUUACUACACAUAUAAGCUCAACCCAACUGGCUCGCCACAAUUUUUCUGUACAAGGGAUCGAAACCUUACUGGCGAAGCCGGCCAUGGCCUAUGAGAGAAAUACCAAAAACAUACAACUACAGCUUUGUUAAUAAUGAAGAAGAAAUAUACUUCUCCUACUCUCAUGAGGACAGUUCAGUUCUCCUCCGAAUGGUGGUGGAUUCACGAAUGGUGACGUGGGUUUCAAGCAAUGAUAGUGAUGGUAAAUGGACAGAGUUCUGGUCAGCAUCCGAGUAUCGUUGCGAUUCUUAUGGAAGCUGUGGUGCUAAUGGUAUGUGCGAUCCUAAACAUGUCAAUAUAUAUGAAUGUUCUUGUUUACCUGGUUACGAACCCAAGUCCUUCAGAAACUGGGUUCUGAUGAGAGAUGGAUCGGGUGGCUGUGUUAGGAAGCGAUUGAAAUCUUCAUCAGUGUGUGGGCAAGGGGAAGGGUUUGUGAAAGUGCCUCAAGUUAAGGUUCCUGAUACUUCAACAGCAGUUUGGGUGAAUAUGAGUAUGUCCCGUGUGGACUGUGAACAAGAAUGCUACAAAGAUUGUUCAUGCUCUGCCUAUGCCAGCAUAAAAAUUCCAGGGAAAGAUGUUGCCUGCUUGGCUUGGUAUGGGGAUUUGAUGGACAUAGUGGAUCUUAUGGACCAUAGCGGCUACGAUGCUUAUGUUCGAGUUGAUGCAAUUGAAUUAGGUAUCACAUUCAUUGCUCUGCACUAGUUUUCUCCAUUGCUCUGUUAUUCCUGCCUAGAUAGCUCCAUCACACUUUUGAACUUUAGCAGCUGAGAUUGAGAGAUCAAAUGGUUUUCUUGAAAUGAAGGGGAUGCUGGCUUUUCUGGUAGUUUCAGUUUCGUCAGCAUGGUUUGUCAUCAUCCUAUUUGUCUACUUGUGGCUGAGGAAGAGAAAGAAAAGAGGCAAGUAAUUAAUGAAAUGUCUCAUUUUCCACAAUAUUUUUUAUAACCAUUUCAAUUUGUGUUGUUCAAAAACAGUAAAGAACAAAUCCAACAGGAGAUUGUUUGAUUCUAUAAAUGGUCCACACUAUCACAAAGAUAAUUUUGAAGCGGAUGACAUCCAGACAAGCAGGAGUCAUACAGACUUAGCAUUUUUCAACCUUAGCACCAUAUCUGCUGCCACUGAUAAUUUUUCUCAAGCAAACAAGAUUGGACAAGGAGGCUUUGGUUCUGUUUAUAAGGUAGAAUUUAACUCUCUAUCCAAUAUCUAAAAAUUGAAAUUCUUCUCAUUUUGAUUUGUUCUCGUUCACAUGGUGUUCUGUGUGAAAACAAAUUCAGACAUAGGUGUAAUCUCGCAAACAUGUUUAUGCAGGGUCAGCUAACUAAUGGAAAGGAGGUUGCUGUAAAAAGGCUAUCAAAAAAUUCAGGGCAAGGAGCAGAAGAAUUUAAAAAUGAAGCUAUGUUGAUAGCAAAGCUUCAACAUAGGAAUCUUGUGAAACUUUUAGGAUGUUGCAUUCAGGAAGAAGAGCGAAUUUUGAUUUAUGAAUACUUGUCAAAUGGAAGUUUGGACUUGUUUCUCUUUGGUGAGUUUUCUAAUUUUUCUAUUGCCUUGUUGGUUUCCUAAUUGUAUCUCCGGAUGCGAUUAAGAUAUACAAAUUAUAUAUAUUAUUUAACACUAACUCGAUAAAAAUUAUUAAAAUUUUAAAGAUACAACAAGAAGUUCAUUCUUGAAUUGGAGUAAACCUUACCAAAGUUAUAGUUGGAAUUGCACUUGGAAUCUUAUAUCUUCACCAGGACUCAAGGUGGCAGAUCAUCCAUAGAGACUUAAAAGGUAGCAACAUCCUCUUAGAUGCAGAGAUGAAUCCAAAAAUUUCAGAUUUUGGAAUGGCUAGAAUACUCGAAGAUGACCAGAUACAACACAAGACACAUAGAGUUGUUGGGACAUAGUAAGUAUUCAAGUAAAGAUUGCCCUUAUCACUCAACAUCAAACAGAUUGCUAUAAAAAACCAAUUCUCUCCUUAACAUGUCGCCAGAGUAUGCCGUGUUAGGAAAAUCUUCAGUAAAGUCCGAUGUAUUCAGCUUUGGUGUAAUAUUGUUGGAGAUUAUAAGUGGGAAGAAAAGCAAUGUCCAUCAAGAGGAUCCUUCCCUAACCUUGAUAGGACAUGUGAGUGAUAGAAACUCUUGAUUUGUUAACUUCUCAACUAAAUAAUUUUACUGAAAGUUUAUUUCAUGCAUGGUGAUGCUAUGAACAAAGGUG
This 14822-nucleotide long non-coding RNA is filed under the name Manihot esculenta (cassava). RNAcentral describes it as "long non-coding RNA (MESC_LNC009393)". Lineage: Eukaryota; Viridiplantae; Streptophyta; Magnoliopsida; Malpighiales; Euphorbiaceae. The record is from RNAcentral.